CCUACGGUGUGCAGCAGUGGGGAAUAUUGGACAAUGGGCGAAAGCCUGAUCCAGCCAUGCCGCGUGUGUGAAGAAGGCCUUCGGGUUGUAAAGCACUUUCAGUGGGGAAGAAAGCCUUGGGGCUAAUACCCUCGAGGAAGGACAUCACCCACAGAAGAAGCACCGGCUAACUCCGUGCCAGCAGCCGCGGUAAUACGGAGGGUGCGAGCGUUAAUCGGAAUUACUGGGCGUAAAGCGCGCGUAGGCGGUCUGAUAAGCCGGUUGUGAAAGCCCCGGGCUCAACCUGGGAACGGCAUCCGGAACUGUCAGGCUAGAGGGCAGGAGAGGAAGGUAGAAUUCCCGGUGUAGCGGUGAAAUGCGUAGAGAUCGGGAGGAAUACCAGUGGCGAAGGCGGCCUUCUGGACUGACACUGACGCUGAGGUGCGAAAGCGUGGGUAGCAAACAGGAUUAGAUACCCUAGUAGUC
Molecule: ribosomal RNA, 465 nt
Filed under: Vreelandella stevensii
Lineage: Bacteria; Pseudomonadati; Pseudomonadota; Gammaproteobacteria; Oceanospirillales; Halomonadaceae
Description: partial 16S ribosomal RNA
Rfam family: Bacterial small subunit ribosomal RNA
Source: RNAcentral